UUGACAGAAGAGAGUGAGCACACAGAGGGGAUUGUAUAUAUGCUUAUACCUUUGCUUUUGCGUGCUCACUUCUCUUCUUGUCAG
RNAcentral lists this microRNA precursor (84 nucleotides) under Eucalyptus grandis. RNAcentral's name for it is "mir-156 microRNA precursor family". It matches the Rfam family "mir-156 microRNA precursor family". Rfam says of the family: This family represents the plant microRNA (miRNA) precursor mir-156. Animal miRNAs are transcribed as ~70nt precursors and subsequently processed by the Dicer enzyme to give a ~22nt product. Lineage: Eukaryota; Viridiplantae; Streptophyta; Magnoliopsida; Myrtales; Myrtaceae. The record is from Rfam by way of RNAcentral.